UGGGUAACCUGCCUCAAAGAGGGGAAUAGCCUCCCGAAAGGGAGAUUAAUACCGCAUAAUAUGUUUAAGUCGCAUGACUUUAACAUCAAAGGAUUUUCUUUUAGAAAUUCCACUUUGAGAUGGACCCGCGGCGCAUUAGCUAGUUGGUGAGGUAACGGCUCACCAAGGCAACGAUGCGCAGCCGACCUGAGGGGGUGAUCGGCCACAUUGGAACUGAGACACGGUCCAGACUCCGUAGGAGG
Molecule: ribosomal RNA, 242 nt
Filed under: uncultured bacterium
Lineage: Bacteria
Description: partial 16S ribosomal RNA
Rfam family: Bacterial small subunit ribosomal RNA
Source: RNAcentral